UUCUGACAAACAAAAACAGCGGAUCGACCGGUAGCGUUGCUUCGUAAAUUAAUAAAAAUGCCUUUUAUAUUUUCAAUUGCUUGCUUUGAAGCAAAACGACGGCAGAAAGUGCGCGAUUUACGAAGAUCAAGACAUCUUAGAUGCAACACCAGCGUACUUAGCAUGUCUGACGAACGGUUUGUGAAGUCAUUUCGGGUCGACAAACAUACUUUCAAAAUGAUUUUGGAGAAAGUUAAGCCGCAUCUGCGUGUUCAACAUUAUCACACUCUACGCAAUUGGCUGCAGUAAUGCGAUACCUCGCCACUGUCUGCCACCAGUGGGCGGUGGCUAAGGACCACCAUAUAAAUGUUGGAAGAAGUACAUUUGGAAA
Molecule: long non-coding RNA, 370 nt
Organism: Drosophila miranda
Lineage: Eukaryota; Metazoa; Arthropoda; Insecta; Diptera; Drosophilidae
Exons: 2
Source: RefSeq, a predicted model, not a curated record